RNAcentral lists this non-coding RNA (24 nucleotides) under Arabidopsis thaliana (thale cress). The record is from RNAcentral. Lineage: Eukaryota; Viridiplantae; Streptophyta; Magnoliopsida; Brassicales; Brassicaceae.
CGAAAACUAAUGCGCAUUCGGCAU